Molecule: long non-coding RNA, 753 nt
Filed under: Rattus norvegicus (Norway rat)
Lineage: Eukaryota; Metazoa; Chordata; Mammalia; Rodentia; Muridae
Description: long non-coding RNA NONRATT024101
Source: RNAcentral
CAGCGACGGACGUGGGCGGCCACGCGUUCCUGUGUGUGUAGUUCGUAAAUGGCGAGAGAAAGAAGUGCCCUGGGCCAUUCAAGAACCUCCUUACUAAAUCCGGACAUCUCUAGAAGAGAUCCCACUUGUGGGCCUGUCGUGACAACCCGGUCUCCUUAAGAAGCUAGAGUUCCAGAGAGCAGGGAUUCCAAAUUGAAAAAGUCUCAGCACUCCUGAGAUCGGAAUGAUGUCAUCGGCCUGAGGAACCCCGGGUGCGGGAGAACCUCCCUGCGAAUGGAAGCUUCGCUGCCUCAGGCCUAAGCAGCCCUUGGAAUCCCGGGAACUGAAGCGCUCUAUUCAGAAAAGGCGGGCGGUCACUAUAGCCAAACUUGUACCACCAAAUCAAAAAUCCGAAAGCCUGCCCCAUCCCAACCGAUCUCUUCCUUGCUUUUCACUUGUUUGUAGGUUGGUUGUUUUGUUGCAAAGUCUGACUCAGUACCCCACUCCUGGCCUCCAAUUCUUGAUUCUCCAGCCUCAGCCUCCUGAAGGCUGCUCUGGUGUGGUUACUCCACCACACCUGUGUCAUGUCUUUUCGUUGACUUUGUCCCUCUUCCCUCUCUCCCUAUCAGUCUUAUUUACACUUCCCUUUUCUUCCUUUCUAUAGUCGAAAUAAACACCUUCUAAGCUUUCUCAGUAUGCUCCAGCACUUGCAGUAUAUGCUGGUAGAGUAGUUGAACCUGGUGAGCUGGUUCACCAAUAAAGAUUAUUAUUUAU